AGUGAACGCUGGCGGCAGGCCUAAUACAUGCAAGUCGAACGGCAGCACAGCAGAGCUUGCUCUGUGGGUGGCGAGUGGCGGACGGGUGAGGAAUACAUGGGAAUCUGCCCAGUCGUGGGGGAUAACGUAUGGAAACGUACGCUAAUACCGCAUGCGCCCUAAGGGGGAAAGCCGGGGACCGCAAGGCCUGGCGCGAUUGGAUGAGCCCAUGUUCGAUUAGCUAGUUGGCGGGGUAAAGGCCCACCAAGGCGACGAUCGAUAGCUGGUCUGAGAGGAUGAUCAGCCACACUGGAACUGAGACACGGUCCAGACUCCUACGGGAGGCAGCAGUAGGGAAUAUUGGACAAUGGGGGCAACCCUGAUCCAGCCAUGCCGCGUGAGUGAAGAAGGCCCUCGGGUUGUAAAGCUCUUUUGUCCGGAAAGAAAAGCAAUCGGUUAAUACCCGGUUGUUCUGAC
Molecule: ribosomal RNA, 456 nt
Filed under: uncultured bacterium
Lineage: Bacteria
Description: bacterial SSU rRNA
Rfam family: Bacterial small subunit ribosomal RNA
Source: RNAcentral